CCGGAAGCAUACCUAUGACGUCACCUAGUGUAGGGACCAAAGAAGAUAACAUCUUUUCGCGGAAUUUUCUUUAAUGAAGAUUUUACACUGAAAUCAUGAUUGAAAUUUAAUAAUGAAAUUGUUUUGCAUUAGAAUAGAGAUAACUGUAUUGUGUUUGAAGCUUUGCGGACGUCCAUCGGUAGUUUUACUGUCGCAAAUACCCGUUUACCUGUCUCCGCUCCGCGUCGCCAGGUAAACUAAAUUUGAGACAGUAAAACUACCGAU
Molecule: long non-coding RNA, 264 nt
Filed under: Mytilus galloprovincialis (Mediterranean mussel)
Lineage: Eukaryota; Metazoa; Mollusca; Bivalvia; Mytilida; Mytilidae
Source: RNAcentral